GUAAUGAGGCUUGGUGAUGGGUUGACUUGUCCACAUUGAUUAAUUCUAAUGAUGAAAAAGGGAUAAUAAAAGGCAAUGUGAUCAAUUGUUUGUGUGAUGUGUUGAGAAUUGUUUGAAAGGCUUGUUGAAUCAUUGUUGAUGUUGUAUCCUGAUUGUCUUGUUGUGAAUUGUGCAAUGUUAUGAAAAUGGUCAUCUCCUCAUUAUUUGUGUGAACAUGUCAUUUGCAUUGUUCUGAGACAUGGUUCUGACAAGUGUUAUGUGCAUUGAGAAAGAAUAAGAAAAUAAAGAGGAUGUACCAUUUCGAGGGACGUAUCGCGCGCCGCGAUGGUUACUAUUAUCGAGGGUCGUAUCGCACGCCGCGAUGGAUGCAUGGACAGAUAUGUCCCCCAUGGGUCCCGGACUGAGAGACAGCGGGUGUGUAUCAUUAGGUCAGACAUGCAUCACUAUACUUGACAUUGC
RNAcentral lists this long non-coding RNA (459 nucleotides) under Solanum tuberosum (potato). RNAcentral's name for it is "long non-coding RNA (STUB_LNC002536)". Lineage: Eukaryota; Viridiplantae; Streptophyta; Magnoliopsida; Solanales; Solanaceae. The record is from RNAcentral.